This 811-nucleotide long non-coding RNA is filed under the name Pan troglodytes (chimpanzee). RNAcentral's name for it is "long non-coding RNA NONPTRT017480". Lineage: Eukaryota; Metazoa; Chordata; Mammalia; Primates; Hominidae. The record is from RNAcentral.
ACUUGAGGGGUUGCUCUGACUUGGCCUCCUCCAAGAACGCAAGGGCCGCCGGGGCUGGCUCUUCGUGGUAACCGGGAUGGUACUGAGCAGCAGGUUUUCACCCUGGUGCCGCUGCUGUGCGAAUGCCUGACUUGGGCGCCCAGGCACCCGCCCCAGGGUCCGCGUGGCAGGUGUGCAGGUAAGGUGCAUCUCUGGACAUGCUUUCUUCUAAAUGGGAGCGCUGUCAGGCCAUGCAGGUGCAUGGCAGCGUCCUGGGCAUGGUGAUCAGAGGCACGGCUGGUGUGAUCUUCUUGACCUUCUCCAUCAUCGCCAUCCUUUCCCAAAGGCCAAGGAAGUGACCUGCCUGUUGGCAUUGGCCAGACCACAGCAGCACCUCCUCCAUGCAGGCCUUACCUUCCAAUGGUCAGUGCAGUUUGGGGCAGCUUUUUAAUCAGCCUUGCUUUGGAUAGGACCUCCAAGGUCUAAGGCCUCCAGCCCCAUGUGUGACCCUUGUCAUCUUUCUGCCCCACAUAAUUCUGUUACUCUGCUAUGUGCUCCUAAUGUAUCUAGUGUGUCCUGUGACAACAUUCAUCAUACUUCAUUAUAAACCACUUGUUUGAUUGACUGUCUUUCCUAUAGACUGUAAGCCCCAUGAGGGCAGGCACAUGUUGUUAUUGACCAUGCUGGCCACAUGCCUAGAUGCAUGGCUGGCACAUUGUGGGCACUCAACAAUGGUUGAAUAAAUAAAACAAUAAAUGAAUGAAUAAGAUAUACAAACUCAUUUAUAUUGCAGAUCAAAUAUAUAUGAUGAAAUUCUUAUGUUGAAUAUGUU